GGUGGCUCAGUGGUAGAGUGCUUGUCUUGCAUGCAUUAAGCCCUGAGUUCAAUUCCUCAGCACCA
This 65-nucleotide transfer RNA is filed under the name Dipodomys ordii (Ord's kangaroo rat). It matches the Rfam family "tRNA". From Rfam's summary of the family: Transfer RNA (tRNA) molecules are approximately 80 nucleotides in length. Their secondary structure includes four short double-helical elements and three loops (D, anti-codon, and T loops). The record is from Rfam by way of RNAcentral. Lineage: Eukaryota; Metazoa; Chordata; Mammalia; Rodentia; Heteromyidae.